This is a non-coding RNA of Pelobates cultripes (western spadefoot toad), 1619 nucleotides long. NCBI's taxonomy places the organism in Eukaryota, Metazoa, Chordata, Amphibia, Anura, Pelobatidae. The record is from the annotation of a GenBank genome assembly.
UUUGGAAAAUUGUGGCUUUAUUGAAGUCCAGCACAUCAGCAUCUGUAGGCCUGUGACAUUGCAAAACAGCAUGGAAGAAACAUCUCUAUACGGUGCUACAUUCUACGUACAAUCCUUAAUAGACAUGUACAGAUUAUUAACUUUACAUCAUUUGUUGUGUUUUCAUUUUGUUUUUUGUUCAUGCAAAAUCUCUGUGGAGAGCUAACACACUCAGAUACUACCCCCCACACAUUCAACCCCCUGAUUCAAUUAACCAUUUAAGUGCCUGAGAUGCAGUUCAGCUCCCCGCUGCACAGGCCCCUAGGGCUAUAGAAGGUUUUUAAAGGGUAAAAAGCAGUAUGCAGUAAAGAAGAGAAAUCACAUUACCACAUUAUCAGGUCUAGCAUCCCAGGUUUAUUUUAUGGAGUGAGAUCAGCAAGCCGAUUAACAUUACGUAAUAACCUAAAAUAGCUUCGGAGAAAUGUUAAGAAAGACAUUAAAUGGUUAAAACAAAAUCAUGUUAAACAAUACAUUGAAAUGCACCCAGUCUAGUGCCUAAAAUAAAGAGAGAAAUGAGUAUUCGCUAUAGAUGUGUGUAAAUAUAUAAGUAAAUGUGCAUAUGUGUAUACAAGAAUAUAAAUAUGUAUAUGUAAACUCAGAUACAUCUAUAGAACACAAUACAGCAAUAAUUACGUUACAUAAUAUCAAACCAUUCAAAUAACCAUAACUCCUAAUAUAAACAUGUUUCCCUUAAAUAAAGCAUGUGCAUGUGCUAACAUGUCUCUACUGGUUUAAAUGCCUAUAAAACGUCUUCUCAGAAUGGAUUCUUAAUAGAAUGUCUGCAACAUUUCAAAUAAAAACGAUUGAUUCUAACAGAUGCAGGAAGCCAGUGCACAAACACAUGCAUACACACAUUCACACACAUACACACACUGUCAGAAAUAGCUAGAAUGCCAGACUGCUCCAUUCAUUAAACUGCAGAGUCAUCCGCAGAAUUCUUUUUAAAGAAAAUGAAUCAGAUCUCAAUAAUUGUCUAUUUUGUCUUCCAUGUUUGCAAUAAAAGCAUUUUAUACGCUGAAAGGUGACAGGUUUAUCUUGUCCUGAGCGUUUGUCUUUGUAGAUUUGCUGCAUCGUGUUUUGUUUGUGACAUCCAUCGCGUUGCCAGUGGGUAGCACAGUCUUCUGCAUGUCGGUCCAGGCACCCAAACAUCCCUGCUUGCUGUAGUCAGCCACUCUCUUGGCAUUCACCGCGUGCCUUAAUUGUAUGGACAUUUAAAUCAAGGUCCGCUGUGAACACGGAGAGAAGGGGCCUCAAUCGGAAGACAACAAACACACACGGAGCAAACAUUGGGGUAAAAAUACAAAAACAACAGGGAGAAAAAAAAUUCUCUCUCUCUCCGAAUCAUCCCAAACCAUCCUCAUCCCUUAACCUUCUGAUGUGCAAUGACAUUAGACCAGCCCAAGCUCUCCCAGUGGUUCCCUUUGUUCUGUAUUCAGAGCGCUUUGCUGAAAGACCCCUCUUAUCUUUUUUUUUUCUCUCCUAUUUUCUCUCUUUUUUUUUCUUGCCUCCUCCCCAGCUGCGGCAGAAGCCGGCAGCUUUCUUCCAGUAGAUACGAAGAGGCAGUUUACGCUGUAACAAUG